AUUCCUUCCUUGUUUUGCUGGUGCGUUUUGUCCAAUUCUUUGUUCAAGAUGCCAAGAACCUGGACACCCUCCACCGGUGACACAGCCAUGUGGAACUGUCUCAGACUUUGUGAAAUUACAUGCUAACUUGCAGACAUUUUUGUCUGGUGGAGAUGCAAAUGAUUUCUGUCUGAGAGAAAAGCCCCAAGACUCACCCAGAAGCAGAAGAUGGCUUCCCUCCUUGGGGCUUCCCUCCUGAACCCAUUUUGUUCUCAGACAGCUGAAACUUCACUGUCUUAUUAAACAUUUUUUUUAAACCA
Long non-coding RNA from Homo sapiens (human), 299 nucleotides. RefSeq lists it as uncharacterized. The transcript has 3 exons. NCBI's taxonomy places the organism in Eukaryota, Metazoa, Chordata, Mammalia, Primates, Hominidae. The record is from RefSeq and is a predicted model, not a curated record.